GGAUGAACGCUGGCGGCGUGCCUAAUACAUGCAAGUCGAGCGAACAGAUGAGGAGCUUGCUCCUCUGACGUUAGCGGCGGACGGGUGAGUAACACGUGGAUAACCUACCUAUAAGACUGGGAUAACUUCGGGAAACCGGAGCUAAUACCGGAUAAUAUAUUGAACCGCAUGGUUCAAUAGUGAAAGACGGUUUUGCUGUCACUUAUAGAUGGAUCCGCGCCGCAUUAGCUAGUUGGUAAGGUAACGGCUUACCAAGGCAACGAUGCGUAGCCGACCUGAGAGGGUGAUCGGCCACACUGGAACUGAGACACGGUCCAGACUCCUACGGGAGGCAGCAGUAGGGAAUCUUCCGCAAUGGGCGAAAGCUUGACGGAGCAACGCCGCGUGAGUGAUGAAGGUCUUCGGAUCGUAAAACUCUGUUAUUAGGGAAGAACAAAUGUGUAAGUAACUAUGCACGUCUUGACGGUACCUAAUCAGAAAGCCACGGCUAACUACGUG
This 498-nucleotide ribosomal RNA is filed under the name uncultured bacterium. RNAcentral's name for it is "partial 16S ribosomal RNA". It matches the Rfam family "Bacterial small subunit ribosomal RNA", at positions 27 to 507 of the family's 1533-position model. The record is from RNAcentral.